This 292-nucleotide ribosomal RNA is filed under the name uncultured bacterium. Its description in RNAcentral is "partial 16S ribosomal RNA". It matches the Rfam family "Bacterial small subunit ribosomal RNA", at positions 505 to 796 of the family's 1533-position model. The record is from RNAcentral.
GUGCCAGCCGCCGCGGUAACACGUAGGGCGCAAGCGUUGUCCGGAAUUAUUGGGCGUAAAGAGCUCGUAGGCGGUCUGUUACGUCUGCUGUGAAAACCCGGGGCUUAACCCUGGGCUUGCAGUGGAUACGGGCAGACUAGAGGCAGGUAGGGGAGAAUGGAAUUCCCGGUGUAGCGGUGAAAUGCGCAGAUAUCGGGAGGAACACCGGUGGCGAAGGCGGUUCUCUGGGCCUGACCUGACGCUGAGGAGCGAAAGCGUGGGGAGCGAACAGGAUUAGAUACCCCAGUAGUCC